This 117-nucleotide ribosomal RNA is filed under the name Compsopogon caeruleus. Lineage: Eukaryota; Rhodophyta; Compsopogonophyceae; Compsopogonales; Compsopogonaceae. The record is from RNAcentral.
UGGUGUUUUUAGCGUAAUGGAACCACUUUGAUCCAUCUCGAACUCAGUUGUGAAACGUUACAGCGGCGAAAAUACUAUAAGGGUAGCUUUAUGGAAAGAUAGCUCAAUGCCAAAGCU